Molecule: ribosomal RNA, 254 nt
Filed under: uncultured bacterium
Lineage: Bacteria
Description: partial 16S ribosomal RNA
Rfam family: Bacterial small subunit ribosomal RNA
Source: RNAcentral
CACGUAGGGGGCGAGCGUUGUCCGGAUUUAUUGGGCGUAAAGAGCUCGUAGGCGGCUCAGUAAGUCAGGUGUGAAAACUCCAGGCUCAACCUGGAGACGCCACCUGAUACUGCUGUGGCUAGAGUCCGGUAGGGGAGCAUGGAAUUCCUGGUGUAGCGGUGAAAUUCGUAGAUAUUGGGAAGAACACCGGUGGCGAAGGCGGCUCUCUGGACCGGAUCUGACGCUGAGGCGCGAAAGCGUGGGGAGCAAACAGG